Molecule: unclassified non-coding RNA, 342 nt
Filed under: soil metagenome
Description: partial contains 5.8S ribosomal RNA, internal transcribed spacer 2, and large subunit ribosomal RNA
Rfam family: 5.8S ribosomal RNA (bases 1-120)
Source: RNAcentral
GAUGAAGAACGCAGCGAAAUGCGAUAAGUAAUGUGAAUUGCAGAAUUCAGUGAAUCAUCGAAUCUUUGAACGCACAUUGCGGCCAUAGGUAUUCCUUUGGCCAUGCCUGUUCGAGCGUCAUUUACACCCUCAAGCCUAGCUUGGUGUUGGGCGUCUGUCCCGCCGUUUUCGCGCGCGGACUCGCCUCAAAGUCAUUGGCGGCGGUCGUGUCGGCCCCCUCGCGCAGCACAUUUGCGCUUCUCGGAGGCCCGGCGGAUCCGCGCUCCAGCAAGACCUUUCACGACUUGACCUCGGAUCAGGUAGGGAUACCCGCUGAACUUAAGCAUAUCAAUAAGCGGAGGA